UUUGACAAUACGUUUGUGCUUGUCAUAUGACGUGUCGAAUUGACGAAGACCCGUCCCACCUUCUCCCUCGUAACGCAAUAAUCUCUCUUCAUUUUAUAACAUAAAUUCUUGGUUGCAGAGCAGAACAAGGGCCUAAAACUCAACACUACACCAUAGUAUAAGCAGAAAUUCGAGAUUUGUUUGACUGUAAUGGAUGAAGAUGAAGAUGUACAGGAUUGAGCAGAGUCUAGCAUUUCAGGUGAAAAGCAGUGAAAAUCAAAGGCCAUUGAAGGAUUUGAUGUUAAGGUAUUUUAGUUUAAGGGGGGUGAUUAUAAUGGUUUUGUUAACUUUAUCACUCUUGGUGUUGCCACUGUUUCUGCCACCACUUCCGCCGCCGCCGCCAGUUCUCCUCCUCGUCCCAGUUUUGAUCAUGUUUUUGCUGAUAUUCUUGGCCUUUUCCCCAUAACAAGUGCCCAGUAUUUCUGCCAAUUCUCACUUCUGUAUGAGUUAUUAUAUACAUAUAUCAGUGUAUGUAUAUAUCGGUGUACUGUGGAAGAUUGGAAUAUGUGUUCAUGAUCUUCUGUUGUUAGAUCGAUUUGUAUGAAUAUCAUGCAUAGAAUGCUUCUAACUCGACCUUUUGAUUUGAUCAAUUUAUUCAUAUGCAUAUUUUUUUUAUAUUCUUUUCAUUAUUUCACCUUCCAAUCUUAUUUUAAUUUACAUUAUCGUCU
Molecule: long non-coding RNA, 707 nt
Filed under: Olea europaea (common olive)
Lineage: Eukaryota; Viridiplantae; Streptophyta; Magnoliopsida; Lamiales; Oleaceae
Description: long non-coding RNA (OEUR_LNC006522)
Source: RNAcentral